UAGGGCUUCACACGUCAUACAAUGGUCGGUACAGAGGGUUGCCAAGCCGCGAGGUGGAGCCCAAUACCCUUAAAGCCGAUCGUAGUCCGGAUCGUAGUCUGCAACUCGACUACGUGAAGUCGGAAUCGCUAGUAAUCGCAGAUCAGCAUGCUGCGGUGAAUACGUUCCCGGGUCUU
Molecule: ribosomal RNA, 176 nt
Filed under: uncultured Thauera sp.
Lineage: Bacteria; Pseudomonadati; Pseudomonadota; Betaproteobacteria; Rhodocyclales; Zoogloeaceae
Description: partial 16S ribosomal RNA
Rfam family: Bacterial small subunit ribosomal RNA
Source: RNAcentral